AGAAAAUGGAGCAAAUGCUAGGUGUGUCGCCAGGUGUGCCGGUGGCCUCUGGGCCUGGGGCCGUGCAAGGAACUGGUGACCCCAGUGCAGGACACCUGAGAAGAGCAUCCCUUCUCCCACGGGAGUGUCUGGAGUCCAGAGGGGUACAUGCAUGAAGACCUGCAUGGAAACUACACCGAAACCUGCUCAGUGGAGCCGCCUUUGGCCUGAGAACAGGUGGGGAAGAGUAUUUGGAUCUCAUUUCGUACUCUUAAAAUGUCAUCAGGAAACAUCUGGAUGGAAGGGUUUGUGCUUGGUGGUUUGUUUGCAUAUGCAUUCACCCUGGCGAUCACCACGCACAGCGAGCCGCAGAGUGCUUCACAGGACUUCCUCUGUGCCCGGCCUGCCAAUGCCACACCUGGGCCAGAGGUGCCAUCGGCUCCCGAGGUCACCCGCCAGCUCUGUUGAUGGCUGUUUCCCUGUCUGGGCCGUGGUUAGGGCCGCUGUGAACGCUCCUACAGGCACUUCCGGCAGACACGUGCUCCACUUCCCUUGGAUCACAGAGGAGGUGAAUGUGCAGCCACAGCCACACCAUCUGCAAGCGCUCACUGGGUCGGCGCCCCACGGCCUGGCACGUCUGCCCCGGCCCGGAGUCUCGGUACCGGUACCGUACUGCCCUUCCCAAUUCCAGCCUUUGGAGGGGGGAGGAGGGUGCUGUCCGCUGCUCUUAGAUUUCCAGGCGCCCUCGGACCCUCAAGGCAGGAAGGAGAGCGCUCAGACAUCAGUGGCCCAGCUCGGCUGGGCUGGGGCUCAUAACUCCGCCCCCAGGAGCAGCCAGAAGCCACAUGGACAGAGGUCUGUGCUAAGGUGGCAGGAGGUGCCCGGUGACCCCGAAGUGAGGGGUACAGCAUACCCACCCUGUACUCUCAGGGAGACAGCCCACACGGGUGGGUGUGACCCCCAGCAAUGCAGGAGGUGGGGUGCCCCAGUGCUGGGGAGCUUGUGGCAAGCAGAGCUGCUCUCUGCCAGCUGGAGCGGGAGCUGGAGCGGGAGCUGGAGCUGGAGCGGGA
RNAcentral lists this long non-coding RNA (1049 nucleotides) under Heterocephalus glaber (naked mole-rat). Its description in RNAcentral is "lncRNA (ENSHGLG00100043336.1)". Lineage: Eukaryota; Metazoa; Chordata; Mammalia; Rodentia; Bathyergidae. The record is from RNAcentral.